This 45-nucleotide non-coding RNA is filed under the name Schistosoma margrebowiei. The record is from RNAcentral. Lineage: Eukaryota; Metazoa; Platyhelminthes; Trematoda; Strigeidida; Schistosomatidae.
AUCGAGCUGACGAGUCCUAAAUAGUACGAAACUCGCGUCCUGGAU